Capsella rubella is the source of this 2971-nucleotide RNA transcript. It is a transcript of the gene named protein PHOX4, with no coding region annotated. The record is from RefSeq and is a predicted model, not a curated record. The transcript is spliced from 3 exons. Lineage: Eukaryota; Viridiplantae; Streptophyta; Magnoliopsida; Brassicales; Brassicaceae.
CUACUCUGGCAUUUCCACCAAACCAUUUAGUGUACGGAAACGUUUCUUCCCCUUCUCACGAUCGGUCAAUCAAAUAGAUUUCGAAUAAUAUAAUCCUCUGUUUCAUUCCUCUCUGCUCCGUCUCAUUUGAACUUCGAUUUUAAUUCAUUAGACUUUUAUUGUAUAUGCUCUGAUUAAAUGGGAAAGCCGACGGCGAAGAAGAAACAUCCGGAGACUCCCAAAGAUGCUUCCGGCGGCGGCGGAGCCAAGUCAGGGAAGACUUACCAUCGUUCUACUACUUCGAGGGCCUUUGACGAAGAUAUGGAGAUUUUCAUCGGCAGAGCACUUGAGCUCAAAGAAGAAGGCAACAAGCUCUUCCAGAAACGCGACCACGAAGGAGCGAUGCUGAGUUUCGACAAGGCCUUGAAGCUCUUGCCUAAGGAUCAUAUCGAUGUAGCUUAUCUCAGAACGAGCAUGGCUUCUUGUUAUAUGCAAAUGGGAUUAGGCGAGUAUCCCAAUGCUAUUAGCGAAUGUAAUCUGGCAUUGGAGGCUUCUCCUAGGUACAGUAAGGCCUUGCUGAGGCGUUCUCGGUGUUACGAGGCUUUGAAUAAGUUGGACUACGCGUUUAGGGAUGCUCGUAUUGUUUUGAAUAUGGAGCCCGAAAAUGUCUCUGCCAACGAAAUCUUUGAUAGGGUGAAGAAAGUGUUGGUAGAUAAAGGUGUUGAUGUGGAUGAAAUGGAGAAGAACUUCGUUAAUGUUCAGCCUGUUGGCGCUGCUCGUUUGAAGAAGAUUGUUAAGGAGAGGUUGAGGAAUAAGAGGAAGAAGAAGAAGAGCGCUGGAAAGGAUGAGCAACUUUUGAAGAGCAAGGUUGAGAGUCCAAAGGUUGUUGACAAGGGAGACCAAGCGGAGAGCAGAAAUAAGCUGAAGGAGGAAAAGAACGAUAGGUUCGAGAUUGAUGGGAAGAUUAAUGGCGAUAGAGAAUAUAAGAAAACAAGUUUCAAGGGUGAUAAAGGACAGAAAAAGAAAAAUGGUGGUAAUAAGGCAGGGGAAGAGAGGAAGCUGGAGGAUAAGGUUGUUGUCAUGGACAAAGAGGUCAUUGCCUCUGAGAUUGUUGAAGGCGGAGGAAACACAAAAGAAGAGGCGGCAAAAGUUACUAGGACUGUCAAGCUGGUACACGGAGAUGAUAUAAGGUGGGCACAGUUGCCACUGGAUUCUAGUGUUAGACUUGUAAGAGAUGUAAUCAGGGAUCGCUUUCCUGCUCUUAGGAGUUUCCUCAUUAAAUAUAAGGAUACAGAAGGUGAUUUGGUAACCAUUACCACGACAGAUGAGCUGAGACUAGCUGCUUCUACUCAUGAUAAACUUGGCUCCCUUAGGUUAUAUAUAGCAGAGGUUAACCCCGACCAAGAACCAACCUAUGACGUCAUGAGCAAUACUGAAUCAACUGACAAGGUUGCCAAGAGAUUGAGCAGCCUUGCGGACAAUGGAAGUGUCGGAGUAUACAUGGAGUCUGACAAAGCAUCUACGUGCUUUGAGAACUGGAUUUUCCAGUUUGCGCAAUUGUUCAAGAACCAUGUUGGGUUUGAUUCUGAUUCGUACUUGGACCUUCAUGACCUUGGGAUGAAGUUGUAUACAGAAGCAAUGGAGGAUGCUGUCACUGGUGAAGAUGCGCAAGGACUCUUUGAAAUCGCUGCUGAUAAGUUCCAAGAAAUGGGUGCACUAGCUUUGUUUAACUGGGGUAACGUUCACAUGUCCAAGGCAAGAAAGCAGGUCUGUUUUCCUGAGGAUGCCUCGAGAGAAGCUAUAAUAGAAGCGGUUGAGGCUGCAUUUGUGUGGACACAGAACGAGUACAACAAAGCUGCUGAGAAAUACGAAGAAGCGAUUAAGGUUAAACCUGAUUUUUACGAAGCUCUUCUAGCACUUGGGCAAGAGCAGUUUGAACAGGCCAAGCUUUGCUGGUAUCAUGCACUCAAAACCAAGGUAGACUUAGAAAGUGAGGCCUCCCAGGAGGUCCUGAAGCUCUAUAACAAAGCUGAAGAUAGUAUGGAGAGGGGUAUGCAGAUUUGGGAAGAGAUGGAAGAACGUCGUCUAAAUGGAAUCUCCAAGCUAGAUAAACAUAAAAACAUGUUGCGGAAGAUGGAGUUGGAUGAAUUGUUUAGCGAAGCUUCAGAAGAAGAAACUGUGGAGCAGACAGCUAAUAUGAGUUCUCAGAUUAACCUCUUGUGGGGUUCGUUGCUAUAUGAACGGUCUAUUGUGGAGUACAAGCUCGGAUUACCAACAUGGGAUGAAUGUUUGGAGGUUGCAGUGGAGAAAUUUGAACUAGCUGGAGCUUCUGCAACUGAUAUAGCUGUGAUGGUAAAGAAUCAUUGUUCAAGCGAGGGUGCCCUUGAAGGUAUGGGAUUCAAGAUUGACGAAAUAGUACAGGCAUGGAACGAGAUGUAUGAUGCCAAGAGAUGGCAGAUGGGUGUACCAUCUUUCCGGCUAGAACCGAUGUUCCGAAGACGAUCCCCGAAACUGCAUGAUAUCUUAGAGAAUGUAUUUUCAGGGCCUGCUUGACCAAAAUAUUGUUCUCAUGUACACACACAGAUAUCAGCUGCCAUCAGAUUUUGUGUAUCACUAGGCACUUUGUUUGUUAUUGGGGGUGGGGUGUGCAUUUUUUCUCCUCACUAUUGGUAUGGUUUUGUCAUUUUUCCAAAGCAAUAUUCUUUUUGGGAUUUCCACGGGGAUAUAUACUCUUGGCCUCUGCGGUUUUGAUGUGGUGGCCGAGACUGAUUGAGAUUCAGUCAAGAGAAGAAGGUUAGAAGGGCUAAUCCUCUUCUCUUCAGAUUGAUUCAAUAUUGGUUAUUUGUUGUUCUUUGUUUUGUUUGGUUCUAUACCAUAGCUCUGUAUUCUUUGUUGUUCAGUUGGAUUAGUUUAUAUUCUAUUCGUGAUUGUUGUGUGAAUAUCUGCGUCGCUUGAAAGAGAUUCAGACUUUAUUUUAAUUUCUUCGAUGUCA